UACAGAGGGGGCAAGCGUUGUUCGGAAUUACUGGGCGUAAAGGGCGCGUAGGCGGCCUGUUAAGUCGAACGUGAAAGCCCCGGGCUCAACCUGGGAAUGGCGAUGGAUACUGGCGGGCUGGAGGCUGGUAGAGGGCGGUGGAAUUCCGGGUGUAGUGGUGGAAUGCGGUAGAGCUCCGGAGGAACACCAGUGGCGAAGGCGGCCG
This 205-nucleotide ribosomal RNA is filed under the name uncultured bacterium. Its description in RNAcentral is "partial 16S ribosomal RNA". It matches the Rfam family "Bacterial small subunit ribosomal RNA", at positions 524 to 727 of the family's 1533-position model. The record is from RNAcentral.